RNAcentral lists this long non-coding RNA (825 nucleotides) under Olea europaea subsp. europaea. Lineage: Eukaryota; Viridiplantae; Streptophyta; Magnoliopsida; Lamiales; Oleaceae. The record is from RNAcentral.
UGCAAAGUUCGAGAGCUUCCUCCUCAUUGGGUAUACCGAGUUUUUGACCAUCUCCUGAUGCACGUUUGUAUCCACAAACAACAGAUGAACCCAAAGACCCCAAUAGGCUUGAAGUGAUACUAGUGAAAACCCCAAUAGCGGCUUGAGAAAGGGAAUAUGAACUAGAGUCCUUUAAAUUGUUAUAGUUCAAAUCCAACACAUCCUGGCAGUUACAUUUAAAUUUAGUACCUACAACCAUUUACUAAAAACUGAACCACGCAUUAUAUACACCUAUUACCAAUAACUGAUGUGGCCAUGAUUUGAUGUUCCCUCUAAAUUGUUAGAUUGUUAUUAUGACAACUCAGGGUUGGGUUCCAUCAUUAGGAAUUAUUUCCUCAUAAAAAAUUUCAAAUAUGAACUCAACUUCAAAGGUCAAGUCAUCACUCAGAUAGAAUUUAUUAAUUAUGUGGGAAAUUUAUUGUCGGGCUAAUACAACAGAGUCUGCAUAUACUAUCAAUGUCUAUCAACGGUUCUUUUAGUGGAAAGUAAAAAGUUUGCUUCUUGCUACUUUCUGUAACCCUGUUCCAAUUUUUUUGAACUCUUUACCAAAUUGCUACGAGUUAUUGUCUCACUUCAGGAAUAAUUCAAUUCUUAACAGUUUAAGAGAGGUAGAAUUAUGUCACCUUUCCUUUCUGGCCCACAAGUUGGUUCUCUUGUGCUGCAAUGUCCCCAUUUGAUUGAUGAGUAUUUUCAUCGUUUAGCAUAGAAGUGGCAGUUGUGUCGUCACAUUUAUCAACCCGAUAUAUCUCAUAUGGUGCGACCUAUGAUAUUUUUGAGUAAUCAACA